Molecule: ribosomal RNA, 539 nt
Filed under: uncultured bacterium
Lineage: Bacteria
Description: bacterial SSU rRNA
Rfam family: Bacterial small subunit ribosomal RNA
Source: RNAcentral
GAGGAAUAUUGGUCAAUGGGCGAGAGCCUGAACCAGCCAAGUAGCGUGCAGGAUGACGGCCCUAUGGGUUGUAAACUGCUUUUGUAUGGGGAUAAAGUCAAUCACGUGUGAUUGUUUGCAGGUACCAUACGAAUAAGGACCGGCUAAUUCCGUGCCAGCAGCCGCGGUAAUACGGAAGGUCCGGGCGUUAUCCGGAUUUAUUGGGUUUAAAGGGAGCGUAGGCUGGAGAUUAAGUGUGUUGUGAAAUGUAGACGCUCAACGUCUGACUUGCAGCGCAUACUGGUUUCCUUGAGUACGCACAACGUUGGCGGAAUUCGUCGUGUAGCGGUGAAAAGCUUAGAUAUGACGAAGAACUCCGAUUGCGAAGGCAGCUGACGGGAGCGCAACUGACGCUGAAGCUCGAAGGUGCGGGUAUCGAACAGGAUUAGAUACCCUGGUAGUCCGCACAGUAAACGAUGGAUGCCCGCUGUUGGUACCUGGUAUCAGCGGCUAAGCGAAAGCAUUAAGCAUCCCACCUGGGGAGUACGCCGGCAACGGUG